Molecule: ribosomal RNA, 252 nt
Filed under: uncultured bacterium
Lineage: Bacteria
Description: partial 16S ribosomal RNA
Rfam family: Bacterial small subunit ribosomal RNA
Source: RNAcentral
UACGUAGGGGGCGAGCGUUGUCCGGAUUUAUUGGGCGUAAAGCGCCCGCAGGCGGUCGCGUCAGUUUGGGGUGACAGCUCCUGGCUUAACCGGGAGAGGACCUCGAAGACGGCGUGACUUGAGGGCCAGAGAGGGACAUGGAACUCCGGGUGGAGUGGUGAAAUGCGUAGAGAUCCGGAAGAACACCAAAGGCGAAGGCAGUGUCCUGGCUGGCACCUGACGCUCAGGGGCGAAAGCGAGGGGAGCGAACGG